This 409-nucleotide ribosomal RNA is filed under the name Hyalomma excavatum. RNAcentral's name for it is "partial large subunit ribosomal RNA". The stretch from base 271 to 409 matches the Rfam family "Bacterial large subunit ribosomal RNA", at positions 2473 to 2612 of the family's 2925-position model. Lineage: Eukaryota; Metazoa; Arthropoda; Arachnida; Ixodida; Ixodidae. The record is from RNAcentral.
UUUGACUUACAAGGUAUUGUAAUAAGAUUUUAAUUGUAUGCUAAAAGAAUGGAAUUUAAAAAAAAACUUUUUUAAAAAUAAAAAUUGAAUUUUUUUUAAUUUGUGCAAAAACAAUUAUUAUUAUUAAAGACAAGAAGACCCUAAGAAUUUAUGAUUUUGCAAUUAGAAUUUUUUUCAAAAAAUCUUGAUUGCGGCGAUCAAAAAAUAUUAAUAACUUUUUAAAUUUAAAUUGAUCUAUUAUUAAUAAACUAAUGAAUUAAAUACUCUAGGGAUAACAGCGUAAUAAUUUUUGAUAGAUCUUAUUGACAAAAUAGUUUGCGACCUCGAUGUUGGAUUAGGAUCCUUUUUUAAUGAAGAAGUUAAAAAAAGAAGUUUGUUCAACUUUUAAAUUCCUACAUGAUCUGAGUUU